RNAcentral lists this small RNA (5974 nucleotides) under Rattus norvegicus (Norway rat). Its description in RNAcentral is "uncharacterized LOC100911253". Lineage: Eukaryota; Metazoa; Chordata; Mammalia; Rodentia; Muridae. The record is from RNAcentral.
AUUUCAGAGGAGGGGAGUCUUGCAGAGUCGCGGUAGCUCUGGUCCUGGAGAUUCAGCCAUGCGCACAUUUGUGCGCACUCAGUGCCUGCUGAUUCUGCUGAGCAGCAAACUGUGCACUGCUCAGGCUUCGGAACUUUUACAAAUAAUUCGUAGCCAAAAGGACGUCUUGUGGAAUUGUUAUCUAUGAAGAGGUUAAGGAAAAAUUCAGCACCGAAACCCUAGUCUUGAUUCUGAACACUCUACUUGCUCUGUUUUCCCUUAGGGAGGAAGGAUCCCCAGAGAGGCUCCCUGACCACUGCAAGCACUUCUCAAAGGGCUUGAAGGAGCUCAACGAAAAAACCCCAUUGCUGCCCAAGACUUCUGAGAGCCAAACUGGUAGAUUUGUGCAACCUGCAGUGAAAUUGUCCACACUAUACGCAAAGAUUAAACUCUGUGUCUUUAUAAGCAGGCAGAAAGGAUUCCAGCUUCCUUAGGUGUUCGCUGAUUGGGAUCCAGAAGCCCGCAACAAAUGGAUUCGCUUCCUCCUUUGUGCUUUCUCCUCCAGGGAGGAAGGAUCCCCAGAGAGGCUCCCUGACCACUGCAAGCACUUCUCAAAGGGCUUGAAGGAGCUCAACGAAAAAACCCCAUUGCUGCCCAAGACUUCUGAGAGCCAAACUGGUAGAUUUGUGCAACCUGCAGUGAAAUUGUCCACACUAUACGCAAAGAUUAAACUCUGUGUCUUUAUAAGCAGGCAGAAAGGAUUCCAGCUUCCUUAGGUGUUCGCUGAUUGGGAUCCAGAAGCCCGCAACAAAUGGAUUCGCUUCCUCCUUUGUGCUUUCUCCUCCAGGGAGGAAGGAUCCCCAGAGAGGCUCCCUGACCACUGCAAGCACUUCUCAAAGGGCUUGAAGGAGCUCAACGAAAAAACCCCAUUGCUGCCCAAGACUUCUGAGAGCCAAACUGGUAGAUUUGUGCAACCUGCAGUGAAAUUGUCCACACCGAUACGCAAAGGUUAAACUCUGUGCCUUUAUAAGCAGGCAGAAAGGAUUCCAGUUUCCUUAGGUGUUCGCUGAUUGGGAUCCGGAAGACCACAGCAAAUGGAUUCGCUUCCUCCUUUGUGCUUUCUCCUCCAGAUGCGUGGGAGAGCUUGAAGAUGGUUGAGGACCAAUAACCUGAGAAAGAGAAAUGUAUCCAAUCCCUUCUAUGUGAGAUAAUGUAACUUUGUGAUAAACAGAUAUACCAGUGAGGGGGAGUCAUUCAGAGAAACAAGGAGAGGAUUCCUGAUAGAAUUGGGGCGGAGGGAGAGAACCUGGAAGAAGCCUAUCUUGGCAUUCUUGAUGCUACACUGCCAUCCAGCGGAAUUACUUUGCUGUACUGCCACCACCUCUAUGAAGCUUUUUCUCAGUCUGUCUGAAAGUGAGAUGUGAGUGCCCAGGCCUUCUGGUUCAAAUAUUGAAUCAGCAACCAAUGAACAAAUGAAGGUACGUCCAGCCAACUGACCUGUUCUGGGGUUAGACAGGGUUUGUUUUUGGAGUAAUAAAUUCAGCUACUCGGGAAUUUGGCUCCAGCUGCAGAUGUAGCAGAGGAGAUGGCUUUGCUUGGCAUCAAUAGGAGGAGAUGCCCUUGGUCCUAUAAAGGCUAAAUACCCCAGUGUAGGGGAAUACCAGAGAUUUGAGGUGAAAGUGGGUACAUCCUCAUAGAACCAGGUAGAUGAGGGAGGGGAAUGGGAGGGGGGAAUAACAUUUGAAAUGUAAAUACAUAAUAUAUUCAAUUAAAAAAAACCAGUAGGAUUAAUUCAGAAAGACUGGUGGUCAGAAAAACUCAACCACAUUGUAGUCUCCUGGCAAAGAGAAACCCCAGGGUCAAGGUCAAAAUGACUCCUCCACCAUGUGGUGACUAUUUUAAGUAGGAAGCUGACCUGUUCAACCAGAGGAAUCAUGGGUAGAAUAAGUCCCAACUUUGACAGGUGGCAGAAAUGGAGCUAUAUUCUCCUAGACUUCAGAGUAAGCUAGCUGUGUGUUCCUGUGUUUUACACUUGCAUCUCAAGAUGUCCUCUGCAGAGGAAGCAAGGUCAUAGAGUAUCCAGAAUCCAUGGCAAAGUCUCUUGCCUCUAGUAGGUUGGAAGACAUUACUAAACUCAGACACAGGAACAUGGUUAGUCUACAGUGUAAGUCUUUUAGAGACUCAACCUCUGCAUAGAAUAGAUGGGUACACCUGACAGGCAGUGCUCAGAUCACUGAGCAGUGACAUUCUGUUCCGUUGGGAGGUGCAAGUCUUUGUUUUCGAUGCUCUGCCCAAGACCCUUCCCUUGAAAGUGUGUGAAAGGUGCCAGGUCCAGUCUUUAGGUAUGUCUUGCCUUGGGCCAGUGAGAACUUGUAGCAAGACAGUCAGGCACAAGAGCUUCAUCCAUAUCUCCAUAAUGAAAUUUGCUCUACCUCAGAAGCUCCCUCUUGUGUAUCUUAAGGCCUUCUUUCUCAGGGAAAUUACAUGCUUCACAAUAGUCACAAAUAUUAUAAAAUACCCUGGGGUAACUCUAACCAAACGAGUGAAGGUUCUGUAUAUAACAACUUCAAGUCUCUAAAUAAAUAAAUAAAUAAAUAGGAAGAAGAGCUCAGAAAAUGGAGAGAUAUCCCACAAUUAUGAACUAGUAGGCUAAACCUAGUAAAAUGGCCAUCUUAACAAAAUCAGUUUACAGAUUAAAUGCAAUCCCCAUCAAAAUCCCAACACAAUUCAUUAAAAACAUGGAAAAAGCAAUUCUCAAUUUCAUGCUGCACAUGAUUUUUAAAAACCAAGAUCCACAUACAAGUAGUACUAUUUCCCUGUGAGAAAAUGAAAUACGGGCAAAUAUCUUUUCUGGCAGAGGCUGAGUAGGAUAGUGGAAAGUAUUGUUUAUAGACAACGAGAUCAUAAUAUUUUCCAGGAACGGUCAAAGAGAUGGAAUACAGCCAGAACUGAGGAGCUAGUGGGUUGGUAGCAGCUGGGAUAGGCUAACAGUUCUUUGAAAUUUACUAGUUCCCAGUUAGGUUCAAUGGGAGCCUACUGUUUCAUUAGAGUCUGAAAUUGCCUCAACACAAAAUCUCAUGUGAGCAGCCAGUACUGGUGCAUACCUUUAAUCACAGCACAUAGGAGGCAGAGUUAUGCAGAUUUCUUGGAGUUCAAGGUCAGCCUGGUCAACAACACAAGUUUCAGGAGAGCCUGACCUGCUACAGAGAGAAACUCUGUCUCGGAAAACAAAAGGUUGGGGCAAAACAGCUCAUGUGAGCUAUGCAAGAUGGCUGACAGACACAACUGAGUACACAGACAGGGUCCUAGAAUUCUUAGGCUAGGGUCUCAGGGAAAGAAAACCAAAGGGUUCUGAUGACAGUUGUCCUUUCUCCUCUUUCUCCUCUGGUUCUCUUCCAUGGUCUGAGGAACUGGGGCUGUGAAAAUAGAAACAAUCCCUAUGUAUUCUCUACUCUGCACAAGCUGGAGUCUCCUCAUCCUUGGCCAUGUGUGGCUGGCACGUAGACUUGCAGACUGGAGAUGCCCUGGAAUUGAACUCACUGCCCCAUGUUUGCAGAACAGUUAAGAAAAAACAUACCUGGAGAACCUUACUAGGAAGAUUUUGAGGGCUGAAAGUUAUGGCUGCUUUGAGCUCUCAAGGGAACUGAUGCCUGGGAUCCUAAGGAUCUGAAUACAUGGAGAAGGACAAAGAAAUUUCCAAUCUGAGGUCUUUGGAUCCUUAAGCCAAUAGAACAGAAUAGAGAGGAGAGCUGCUAACCAAACACUUCGGUCUUCUUGUCUAAAGAUCUCAACUUAUGGAGUCCAUGACCCUGGAUUUGCAUGGGUGGAUGUUCUGGGCCAUUGCUACAUCAUGGAUGUUUUCCCGGCCUGUGGGUUGUGUGGGGACCUGAUUUGAUGCUGAACCACGGAUUCCAAGUCCAAGACAAAGAGAGCUCUCCCAGCAAAACUCCUGAAGUACAGCAGAAGAAUAAAGGGAAUAAAAAGGAAGCCAAAAGACAGAAAAUACAGAAAGGAAGGGAAGAAAAAAAGCAGAGACAACAGGCUGAGUAUCUAAGAGUGGAAGGAGGGAAGGAAUGAAAAAGAGGGAGUAAUGGAAGUGAGAGUAGGGUAGAGAGUAUGAUGAAUUGAAAGGACUGACAUAUUUUUGACCUCUAGAUGGCAUUUCUCGAGACCCUGAAGCUCAUGAACAAAGUCCAGAAUCUCAUGGGCACUGGCUGAUUCCAAGAAAUGAGAUAUAUAUGCAGAAAGGUAUCUAAAAAACAGGUCAGAGGCAAUUGGGGGAGAUUCCUAACCUUGAUCAGCAAGUUACCCACAUAUCUGUGCCCCAGUUGAUGAAUCCGAAAUAGUGUUCCUCAUCACUGUGCAAACAUGGCCGCCUCGAGAUCACAAAGCCCAUAUUCGCAAGUAGCUGAAUUUAUUACUCAGAGAAGCAAGCUGGCUAACCGCAGAACCUGCCAGUUGGCUCAAGCUACCUUCACUUUAAUAUUUGAACCAGAAGCUGAAGCACUCCUCACCCACUACCAGACUUGCCAAGGAAAAGCUUAUGGAGGUGUUGAUAAGAACAGCAAAGCAAUUCCACUGGAUGGCAGUGUAGUAUCAAGAAUGUGAAGAUACCCUUCUUACAGGUUCUCUCCCUCCGCCCUUCUUGGAGUGAAAAAAAAAAAAAAAACUGAAACAGUUCAACAUAACACUUGACUCUGAUAUAUGUUAGAUAGAAAUUGGUUCCUUAUGUCUACAGUACCUAUUAUCACUGAUCUGACCUGGGUGGUCUCUGUUUCAGUGUAUUAAGAUAUUCUCCCACAAGGACAGGGACCAUCCUCAAGGCAUAAGGGCCAAACAGGAAAACCCAAUGAGGAUCCCUUCCCCUGGAUGCAAGGGUCAGGAGAAGCCAUAGAAACAAACUUCUAGCCAGAGACUUAGUCUGGGGCACAGUACAGCACCAUCAGUUCAGCACUCGAGUUCGCACUAAAUUCGGAACUGCAAAGCUAGAAAGAAGAGUCAGAAGACGCAAUACAUAUAAAUUCUUCAGAAGAAACGGGACCUUGGGCUGAGUACAAGUCCCUCCUGUGCUACCAAGAUAUAUCUAUUCUUCAGUCCUUUGCCCCCAGACAUUUUGAGAGAAAACACACUGAAUUAUUGGUGGGAACAUUAAGAACAGAUCACUUGCUGACAGUAUUGAACCAAGAAGCCAAGGUACCCAUCUUUCAGGUUCUCUCCCUCCACCCUUCUUUGAUAAACAACAACAACAACAACACCACACACACACACACACACACACACACACACACACACACACACACACACACAUUUUGCCAAUAAAUCCCAAGUUGACUGACCUUAAUCAUGGCCUCCUUUGGCCAGAGAUGGGCUUUGGAGCUUCACUGUAUACAUACUGUCUCGGAGGUCACAGGCCACACAAGUUCCUCAUUCCCAGUCCAACACAAGAACGUGGCAUGCCCUCAGAAACAUACAGGAAAACUAAGAGCAAUGGUCAAAAGAAGGUCUACAAAUACAUUCUUAGGCAGAAACUUGACCUUGGGCAACAUAUGACUCACUCACAUCUUUCCAGAAAUAAUCUGACUGGCCCAUAUGUACAUAACUUAUAACUGGAAUUUUGUCAGUGAGUGCCAAGGUAAACCAUAGAGUGUUCAGUCCUCCCACGGGGAAGAAGAGAUUGUAUAGCCAUUCGACAACCAAGCUUCUAGUUCAAGGCUACCUGAUUCUUCUCCCUACACAUACAUACCAGGCUCCUGACAGGAAAAGUUGGAAGGACAAAUAAGGAAGACAGUUGGAACAAUAGAGACAACCAGCUAUUCAAACAGAGUCAAGGGCCAGUGAUACAUUCAAACCUAGAAGAAGGAGAUGCCAGGUUGUAGUGAAGAAGAAAAAAAAAAAAAAAAACCACACACAAACACACAGAUGCUUUCCUUUUUGAGUGCCCUAGUUCCUUUUUUACAAACCAGAGUCAAAAUAAAAACUACAACUGUCACCCAAA